RNAcentral lists this ribosomal RNA (435 nucleotides) under uncultured fungus. RNAcentral describes it as "eukaryotic LSU rRNA". It matches the Rfam family "Eukaryotic large subunit ribosomal RNA", at positions 1 to 432 of the family's 3401-position model. The record is from RNAcentral. Lineage: Eukaryota; Fungi.
GACCUCAAAUCAGGUAGGAUUACCCGCUGAACUUAAGCAUAUCAAUAAGCGGAGGAAAAGAAACUAACAAGGAUUCCCCUAGUAACUGCGAGUGAAGCGGGAAAAGCUCAAAUUUAAAAUCUGGCGGUUUCACCGUCCGAGUUGUAAUCUAGAGAAGUGUUAUCCGUGCUGGACCGUGUACAAGUCUCUUGGAAUAGAGCGUCAUAGAGGGUGAGAAUCCCGUCUUUGCCACGGACUGCCAGUGCAUUGUGAUGCGCUCUCAACGAGUCGAGUUGUUUGGGAAUGCAGCUCAAAACGGGUGGUAAACUCCAUCUAAAGCUAAAUAUUGGCGAGAGACCGAUAGCGAACAAGUACCGUGAGGGAAAGAUGAAAAGAACUUUGGAAAGAGAGUUAAACAGUACGUGAAAUUGUUGAAAGGGAAACGCUUGAAGUCAG